UACGGAGGAUCCAAGCGUUAUCCGGAAUUACUGGGCGUAAAGAGUUGCGUAGGUGGCAUAGUAAGUAGAACGUGAAAGCGUACGGCUCAACCGUAUAAACAUGUUCUAAACUGCUAAGCUAGAAUAUAGAAGAGGUAGCUGGAAUUCCUUGUGUAGGAGUGAAAUCCGUAGAUAUAAGGAGGAACACCGAUGGCGUAGGCAGGCUACUGGUCUAUUAUUGACACUAAGGCACGAAAGCGUGGGGAGCAAACGGG
Molecule: ribosomal RNA, 254 nt
Filed under: uncultured bacterium
Lineage: Bacteria
Description: partial 16S ribosomal RNA
Rfam family: Bacterial small subunit ribosomal RNA
Source: RNAcentral